AUACCUUUCUCGGCCUUUUGGCUAAGAUCAAGUGUAGUAUCUGUUCUAUUCAGUUUAAUAUCUGAUACGUGGGCCAUUGGCUUACAUGAUAUUAAAUUAUUUUUUUCGGAGGAAGACCCGUCACGGUUGCUUGCUGUUGGGGUCUUCGAGUGUCGCCCUUGUGUUGCACUUCUAAUUGGGCUAGACGCACCCAAU
This is a small nuclear RNA of Impatiens glandulifera, 195 nucleotides long. RefSeq annotates it as U2 spliceosomal RNA. NCBI's taxonomy places the organism in Eukaryota, Viridiplantae, Streptophyta, Magnoliopsida, Ericales, Balsaminaceae. The transcript has a single exon. The record is from RefSeq and is a predicted model, not a curated record.